GACAGAGGGUGCAAACGUUGUUCGGAAUUACUGGGCGUAAAGCGCGUGUAGGCGGCUAAGUAAGUCGGGCGUGAAAUCCCACGGCUCAACCGUGGAAGUGCACUCGAAACUGCAUAGCUAGAGUCCUGGAGAGGAAGGUGGAAUGCUUGGUGUAGAGGUGAAAUUCGUAGAUAUUCGCAAGAACACCAGUGGCGAAGGCGGCUCACUGGCCCGGAACUGACGCUGAGGUGCGAAAGCGUGGGGAGCAAACAGG
Molecule: ribosomal RNA, 253 nt
Filed under: uncultured bacterium
Lineage: Bacteria
Description: partial 16S ribosomal RNA
Rfam family: Bacterial small subunit ribosomal RNA
Source: RNAcentral